Molecule: non-coding RNA, 108 nt
Organism: Caenorhabditis elegans
Lineage: Eukaryota; Metazoa; Nematoda; Chromadorea; Rhabditida; Rhabditidae
Source: Ensembl
AGAUAAUGCGUUUGUUUUGACACACUGCCUCCCGGCCAGUCGGGUGGCUGGUACCGGGUACCCCCCUUAUCUGAGAGGAUGGUCCUUAUAGACAAUUGUGAAAAAAUC